Long non-coding RNA from Triticum aestivum (bread wheat), 259 nucleotides. RefSeq lists it as uncharacterized. Lineage: Eukaryota; Viridiplantae; Streptophyta; Magnoliopsida; Poales; Poaceae. The record is from RefSeq and is a predicted model, not a curated record. The transcript is spliced from 2 exons.
CACCAAGGUUGAGCCUCCUCAAAAAAGCUGUCGAAAGGGAUAGAGCAUCACCUCCUACAAGCAGUGUGACAAAGAGGAGGAGAGGGUCUCCCAAAGAAGAUAGAGCACAGUGGAAUGCAAGCCUUGAGAAAGAUCUUGUGGACUUGCUUCGUGAGCAUGAUACACCUGAACAUAAGGGUCAAAAUGGAUGGAGCUCAGAAGCAUGGAAUACGAUAGUGAAGAAAUUCCACCAAAAGAAUCCUUAUGCUAGGUACGAGAA